UGGGGGNGCUAUACAUGCAAGUCGAGCGAACAGAUGAGAAGCUUGCUUCUCUGAUGUUAGCGGCGGACGGGUGAGUAACACGUGGGUAACCUACCUAUAAGACUGGGAUAACUCCGGGAAACCGGGGCUAAUACCGGAUAAUAUUUUGAACCGCAGGGUUCAAUAGUGAAAGACGGUUUCGGCUGUCACUUAUAGAUGGACCCGCGCCGUAUUAGCUAGUUGGUAAGGUAACGGCUUACCAAGGCGACGAUACGUAACCAACCUGAGAGGGUGAUCGGCCACACUGGAACUGAGACACGGUCCAGACUCCUACGGGAGGCAGCAAUAGGGAAUCUUCCGCAAUGGGCGAAAGCCUGACGGAGCAACGCCGCGUGAGUGAUGAAGGUCUUCGGAUCGUAAAACUCUGUUGUUAGGGAAGAACAAAUUUGUUAGUAACUGAACAAGUCUUGACGGUACCUAACCAGAAAGCCACGGCUAACUACGUGCCAGCAGCCGCGGUAAUACGUAGGUGGCAAGCGUUAUCCGGAAUUAUUGGGCGUAAAGCGCGCGUAGGCGGUUUCUUAAGUCUGAUGUGAAAGCCCACGGCUCAACCGUGGAGGGUCAUUGGAAACUGGGAAACUUGAGUGCAGAAGAGGAGAGUGGAAUUCCAUGUGUAGCGGUGAAAUGCGCACAGAUAUGGAGGAACACCAGUGGCGAACGCGGCUCUCUGGUCUGUAACUGACGCUGAUGUGCGAAAGCGUGUGGAUCAAACAGGAUUAGAUACCCUGGUAGUCCACGCCGUAAACGAUGAGUGCUAAGUGUUAUGGGGUUUCCGCCCCUUAGUGCUGCAGCUAACGCAUUAAGCACUCCGCCUGGGGAGUACGACCGCAAGGUUGAAACUCAAGGAAUUGACGGGGACCCGCACAAGCGGUGGAGCAUGUGGUUUAAUUCAAGCACGCGAAGAACCUUACCAAAUCUUGACAUCCUUUGACCGCUCUACAGAUAGAGUCUUCCCCUUCGGGGGACAAAGUGACACGUGGUGCAUGGUUGUCGUCAGCUCGUGUCAGUGAGAUGUUCGGGUNAGUCCCUCGAUCGAGCGCANCCUUAAGCUUAGUGCCAUCAUUAGUGGAGCNNCUCGUAAGACUGACUGCAGUGACNAGCGGGAGGANGAUGGGAUGACGUCNUCAGUCAUGCCCUUAUGAUUUGGGCUACACACGUGCUACAAUGGAUAAUACAAAGGGCAGCGAAUCCGCGAGGCCAAGCAAAUCCCAUAAAAUUAUUCUCAGUUCGGAUUGUAGUCUGCAACUCGACUACAUGAAGCUGGAAUCGCUAGUAAUCGUAGAUCAGCAUGCUACGGU
This 1337-nucleotide ribosomal RNA is filed under the name Staphylococcus sp. SPT122. RNAcentral describes it as "bacterial SSU rRNA". It matches the Rfam family "Bacterial small subunit ribosomal RNA", at positions 40 to 1363 of the family's 1533-position model. Lineage: Bacteria; Bacillati; Bacillota; Bacilli; Caryophanales; Staphylococcaceae. The record is from RNAcentral.